UUGUUGCGACGUAGACCAAACCAAUUGAAAUUGGCAGUGCGCUGUCGGUUGAGUUAACGGGAAAAAUAACAAUAAAUACAGUUUUAUGGUUAUAAUUAACAUUAACGAAUUACUUCCAGUCGAUUUAUGCAAAUGAGUCUUGUCAACAUCGAUUCGAUUUAUCGUUUUGCGGAUGAGUGAUCUCCCAAAAAGUUGACGAUUGUAUUUCGCAACGUGUCGAUUGCUCCGGCAAAUAAAACGUAGAUCUGCCAAUUACACGCGUUCGGUUCUGAUUCAUUCGAGUCAACAAUAAUCACGAUUCACUUAGAUGAACGCAGUUUCAAAAAUCCGGGGAAAAUUUCGUCCCACGCUUUUUUGAGUGUGCGAAAUUAGGGAUCGGGUUCAUAAACUUUCAAUCCUCUUGUAAAUAAUCCCGACUGUGGGAAUAAUAACUUCAUUGCUGGUUAUAUAAUUUGGGGUGAGCGAAUGAGGGUGAGAGUCAAGUGCGAACCAUCAAUAGGUGGGGGAGUGGAGAUAUAAACGCACGCGGCGCCAAAGUCUUGCAUUUGCGUUUAACAGUUCUGUCGAGAUGUCGGUCAGACGAUUUUUCAUCUGGACGGGACACAACUGUCUCAAAGUGUUGAAGAACUUGUCCACUUCGAUCCAAAAUCGCUACAAUAGGAAGAGAUUCAAAAACUCGACUUUUUCCAUUUCGACCUUCGAACGGGGAAGCGUCUCCACGGAAAUCACGGUUCUGGAGUACGAAAUCACACCCUGUAUGUGCCACAAUUACCAACGCGAAAACGAAGUCAAUGAAAACCUGGAGAGGAGGUGGAGGUGCAAAUAUUAUUAAUUUUUUUGUUGCAAAUAGACAAGGCUGUGAUUUUAUGUAUACUUAAGCGAAUAAAUUAUUAUUUUUUAUAA
Molecule: long non-coding RNA, 903 nt
Organism: Tribolium castaneum (red flour beetle)
Lineage: Eukaryota; Metazoa; Arthropoda; Insecta; Coleoptera; Tenebrionidae
Exons: 2
Source: RefSeq, a predicted model, not a curated record